Molecule: transfer RNA, 73 nt
Filed under: Apaloderma vittatum (bar-tailed trogon)
Lineage: Eukaryota; Metazoa; Chordata; Aves; Trogoniformes; Trogonidae
Rfam family: tRNA
About the family: Transfer RNA (tRNA) molecules are approximately 80 nucleotides in length. Their secondary structure includes four short double-helical elements and three loops (D, anti-codon, and T loops). Further hydrogen bonds mediate the characteristic L-shaped molecular structure. tRNAs have two regions of fundamental functional importance: the anti-codon, which is responsible for specific mRNA codon recognition, and the 3' end, to which the tRNAs corresponding amino acid is attached (by aminoacyl-tRNA synthetases). tRNAs cope with the degeneracy of the genetic code in two manners: having more than one tRNA (with a specific anti-codon) for a particular amino acid; and 'wobble' base-pairing, i.e. permitting non-standard base-pairing at the 3rd anti-codon position.
Source: Rfam by way of RNAcentral
GGCCAGUUAGCUCAGUCGGCUAGAGCGUGGUGCUGAUAACACCAUGGUCGCAGGUUCGAUCCUCAUUCGGUCC